UCACAACCACUAAUACUCCAACAAUACCUGAAGUUACAUCCACUAAUUCUCCUUUGACACCAGCAGUCACAGGUUUAUUGACACCUGCAAUCUCAUCCAAUAGUACUUCAUCAACAACUGCAGCCAUAUCAACUGGCAUACUAUCAACACCUGAGGUCAUAUCCACCAACACCCCUUUAGCAACACCUGCAGUAACUUCCACACGUCCUCUAUCAACACCUGUAGUCACAUCCAGUAGUACUCCAUCACUACCUUCUGUCACAUCCUCCACUGGUCUAUCAACACCUGAAGUUGGUCCUCUAUUAACACAUGCAGUCACAUCAACUAGUCCUCGAAUAACAAUUGCACUCACAACCACUACCACACCUGGAAUCACAUCUACUUUUACUCUAUUGCCACUUGCAGACAUAUCCACCAGUAAUUUUCCACCCCAAGUACAAUCUACCAGUGAAAUUACACCUCCCCCAUCUCCAGCAGUACAUUCCACAGGCAUCAGCACUCAAUUUAGCCCCAAAGAUACUACAGACCAUCUCUCUUCAACCACAACACAAUCCUAUGAGGACACCGCCAAGGUCACUGUGCCCAGCGAAGCUACCGGAGACAGUGGGACCACAUCUUCUGCUCCCAAGGAUCUUCAGACAGUGAUUGGUAAAAUGAAAGUGUCAAUUCUAGCUCCAGCUCAUGUAAACAACACAACUGUGGUUGAAGCUUUCCACACGCUCACCAAUGUCCUUCAGGACUAUUUAAGAAGAAAAUACAGUGAUGUCAGUUCCAUAAGAAUUAUCAGAAUCACCAAGAAAUGAGAAGUGUUCAUCUCUCCUGCUGCACGAUGACAUGCAUUUUAUUUUGUAUUUUAUUUCAUCUUUACUUGACUAGGAAGUCGCAUUGAGAUUAAAACCACUUUUACAAGUGAGACCUAGCCAAAACAAGGCAAAGCCGUAUCUUACAUGCAGUAGCCACAACACAAACCAAGGCUUCACAUAUAGCCAGGCAUCAGUUUGUUAAAAAUGCAUACAAUACACAUAAAAGUAUCCGGACAUUUACAACUUGAAACAACUUGAGAUGCCAGUAAC
This is a long non-coding RNA of Conger conger (European conger), 1073 nucleotides long. RefSeq lists it as uncharacterized. The record is from RefSeq and is a predicted model, not a curated record. The transcript is spliced from 3 exons. Lineage: Eukaryota; Metazoa; Chordata; Actinopteri; Anguilliformes; Congridae.